Long non-coding RNA from Herpailurus yagouaroundi (jaguarundi), 399 nucleotides. RefSeq lists it as uncharacterized. The transcript has 4 exons. The record is from RefSeq and is a predicted model, not a curated record. NCBI's taxonomy places the organism in Eukaryota, Metazoa, Chordata, Mammalia, Carnivora, Felidae.
UUCCCAUGUGUGUAUAAAAAGAACUCUGGAGACCACAUCGUAAAGGGUCACUGAAAUGAUGAACAGUGAAAACUGAGCCAAUUGGAAACACCUCCAAUACUGACGUCCUUACAGGGAACUCAAGUUGGGGGCUCCUAGGAGCCAAAGCACAGCCAGCCAGUGCAGCCAAAAUGCCUCGUCGGGCCAUUCGCUGACAUGCACAGUGUCCAGGUCUUCCUGGAGUUGUACCUAGGCCAAACUUCCUCUGUUCCUGUUACCUGUGGCAGCUUUUGGAACACUACCACAGCCAUCCGCAGGGCCUCGCUGAGCACCUAGCAUGCGCAGAGCACUACGCGACAGCCACCAUUUCACUGAAGCUUGUUGUGACUCUCACGUCCCUGUUCUUUGCGGGUACCGCUG